This 196-nucleotide ribosomal RNA is filed under the name uncultured bacterium. RNAcentral's name for it is "partial 16S ribosomal RNA". It matches the Rfam family "Bacterial small subunit ribosomal RNA", at positions 338 to 525 of the family's 1533-position model. The record is from RNAcentral.
UCUACGGGAGGCAGCAGUAGGGAAUCUUCCGCAAUGGACGAAAGUCUGACGGAGCAACGCCGCGUGAGUGAUGAAGGUUUUCGGAUCGUAAAACUCUGUUGUUAGGGAAGAACAAGUACCGUUCGAAUAGGGCGGUACCUUGACGGUACCUAACCAGAAAGCCACGGCUAACUACGUGCCAGCAGCCGCGGUAAUA